RNAcentral lists this ribosomal RNA (253 nucleotides) under uncultured bacterium. RNAcentral's name for it is "partial 16S ribosomal RNA". It matches the Rfam family "Bacterial small subunit ribosomal RNA", at positions 524 to 776 of the family's 1533-position model. The record is from RNAcentral.
UACGUAGGGGGCUAGCGUUGUCCGGAAUCAUUGGGCGUAAAGCGCGUGUAGGCGGCCCGGUAAGUCCGCUGUGAAAGUCGGGGGCUCAACCCUCGGAUGCCGGUGGAUACUGUCGGGCUUGAGUACGGAAGAGGCGAGUGGAAUUCCUGGUGUAGCGGUGAAAUGCGCAGAUAUCAGGAGGAACACCAAUGGCGAAGGCAGCUCGCUGGGACGGUACUGACGCUGAGACGCGAAAGCGUGGGGAGCAAACAGG